This 301-nucleotide long non-coding RNA is filed under the name Mytilus galloprovincialis (Mediterranean mussel). The record is from RNAcentral. Lineage: Eukaryota; Metazoa; Mollusca; Bivalvia; Mytilida; Mytilidae.
CAGCGUCAUCCGAAGACAGAUGAUUUCCAGAUAAUAACUUUAGUAUAAGUAAAUAGAAAUCAAUAAAAUUUUAACACAAUGUUUAUAACCACAAAAGGAAGCUUGGGAUUGAUUUUGGGGGUUAUGGUCCCUAAGAUUUAGGAAUUAGGGGCCCAAAACAAGCAUUUAUCUAGUGUCAGUACAAAAAGUUGUGCAUAAGUAUUUCAAUUGUUCUGAAAUUGAACCACAAUGUUUAAAACCAGAAGUAGAAGGUUGGAAUAUAUUUUGUGGGUUAUGGGGCAAACAGUCCAGGAAUAAAGGG